CCCAAUAAACGCAAAUAUAUAUAUUUGAAAACCCUAACCCAGCUCUGCCGUUCCUCUCUCUUCUCUAUUCUCUACCUUCACCUUCCCCAAAACUCAACACUGAAAAUCAAUCAUGCCAAGAAGCCAUCCCCACACUGUCAGGUCCGAGAUAGAAAGAAGGCAUCACCGAACAAACCACUGUCCCAGCCGUGGCAGAGGGAGCAUUUGAUGCAAACGUACAUGACCAUUGUGGCUGAGAAGGAUGUUGCUGUCCAAGAACGUGAUAUGGCUAAAAAUUGUGCCCUGUUUUUUAUUUCUAAGUUUUUUGAUAUUUUUAUUUAUGAUUUCUACAAUUGAGUGGAUUAGGAUUGGUUAAAUUUGUACUGACUUUUUUUCAUAAUGUGAUUAAGGAGCAUUUGAUGCAAACGUACAUGACCAUUGUGGCUGCGAAGGAUGUUGCUGUCCAAGAACGUGAUAUGGCUAUCCAAGAACUAAAAAUUGUGCCCUGUUUUUUAUUUCUAAGUUUUUUGAUAUUUUUAUUUAUGAUUUCUACAAUUGGGUGGAUUAGGAUUGGUUAAAUUUGUACUGACUUUUUUUCAUAAUGUGAUUAAGGAGCAUUUGAUGCAAACGUACAUGACCAUUGUGGCUGAGAAGGAUGUUGCUGUCCAAGAACGUGAUAUGGCUAUCCAAGAACUAAAAAUUGUGCCCUGUUUUUUAUUUCUAAGUUUUUUGAUAUUUUUAUUUAUGAUUUCUACAAUUGGGUGGAUUAGGAUUGGUUAAUUUGGUUGUGUCGAUGAUUAAUUGAUUUGUUCUAAAUGGUGUUAUUUAUGAUCUUUGCUUAGGGGGCGGUCUAAUUCCUUUGUAUUACAUAUUACAUAAUAUUAUUCCGUUUUGAAUGCCUUCUCUUUUGGACAGGUAAAUGAUCCUGAAAGAGGGUUCAGUGUCCUUGGUAAUGGACCUCUUGAUAUGUGAAUGGAUCCUCAGUUUUAUAGGCUCUCUUUAGUACUGUUAGUGGAAGCAAUUGGAUUUGCUUGGUGAUUUUGUUAAAGGAGCUUACAGGUAUUGAUAUAAAUUAUUAUUAUCAUUUAAAAAUUUCCAUCAAUUAUUAAUAUACAAUGAAUCAUUGGAUGCUAUUAAAAGAGAAUUGGAUGUCAAAUUGUAGAAUAAAUUGGGGUGGGGUUAUUAUGAAAUUUAUUGACAUUAUGAGUGUUUGGUUUUACAUUUUAAAUUUUUGAUGAAUUGGUAUAAUUU
Quercus lobata is the source of this 1230-nucleotide long non-coding RNA. RefSeq lists it as uncharacterized. The transcript has 3 exons. The record is from RefSeq and is a predicted model, not a curated record. NCBI's taxonomy places the organism in Eukaryota, Viridiplantae, Streptophyta, Magnoliopsida, Fagales, Fagaceae.